This 470-nucleotide long non-coding RNA is filed under the name Olea europaea subsp. europaea. Lineage: Eukaryota; Viridiplantae; Streptophyta; Magnoliopsida; Lamiales; Oleaceae. The record is from RNAcentral.
AUUCGAAUUGCAUGAUUGCCCUCUAUGAUUUGCAGAUAAAUUACCUUUAGCUUGCAACUUAUAGCAAUCUGUUUUAAUGUAUCCUUUCCUCCUGCAGUUGAAGCAGUACAAAUUGCUGAAGGUCGUCCUCAAUCUACCCCUUCGUCGAUCACCAUGAGAUACCAAAGUUUCCCCAUCCCUCAAUGUAGUUCCAACCAAAUGCUUCAUCAUCUCCUUUGAGAGCAGAGCAUCGUAAAUAUCCUCAAUGGUCAAAAUAUCACGACUGUACAAGAUGGUGUCCCGAAAUGACAAAUAAGAGGCGAGCAACGAACACGAUAGGAUCAAGGCUGGGUCUUCCUCAUCGUAUUUAACCUCUAAUGUCUCUAAAUCUACAACUAUUUCAUUGAACACAGUAAUGUGGUCUUCCAGUGACCUUUUUUCUGCUAUACGAUGGGAAUACAGCUUUUGCUUUAGAGCCAAUUUGCUUAUGA